UUAUCUAGUACAUAAUGUCACCAAAAAAACUUAUUUGUACAUUUUUUUUAUAUUAUAAUAAAAAAAAUCGAAGAAAUAAUACAAGUCAAUUAAAGGUGAGAACUGUUUCAUUGUAAUAUCCUUACAAGUCGAAAUCGUUAUGCGUUAAUCAAAAUUGAAACAGCACCUUUUGUGUCAGGCGGCCUGAUGCGCGCGUGAGCGUCAGACCAUGCUGACGUCAUCUCAUUUUCCCACCCGCAAGUGCUUUCACGCGCAUACAAAUACACAAUUUCAUUUCUCUCUCCUCUUCGUUCAUCUCCUCGCUCCUCCCUCCUCUCUGCGCUCCUCUCUCUCUCUCCUCUCUUUCUCCUCUUUGCGCUCCUAUCUCUCUCGCCAAAGACAACCACCAUGACAGAAGGUUCCAAGGAGCUCCUCCUUGUUCAUCUGCUCAAAACCUAAAGAAAAUCAAACGGCGGAGGAGCAACGGCGGUUUGCGGCUGCUACAUCGAGUUCGCCGCCGACAUCUCUCCCUUAUCAAACUCGUCGGCGAUCUCUCUCCAUUUACGACAACAAUUCGACUGGCGCCAUCGUAGUUCCACCGCCAAUGUCCUUCAGGUGAUCUCGACGGAAGAAUCAACGGCGGUAGAUGCUGAGUGGGAGAUAGAUUGAGUGCCGAAGGAGGGAGGAGAGACGAGGGGAGCAGAGGCGGCGGUUGGACCGCUGGUGGUCGCUGCUGUUGUUAAUGGCCCGCUGGUGGCCCGUUGAUGUUGUUAAUGGACCGGUGGUGGUCGCGCUGGACCGGUGGUGUUUGCCUCGACAAUUCCACCACAGCAAGCUCACACCACCUCAUACUGAAGAAACAACAACCACCUUAACAUCGUCGGCGGCGGUAGAUCAUGAAUUUUGGAAUUUUUUUUCUUUUAUCUUGUUUUUUUUCUUUGAUAAAAGAGGGCAAAGCCCCAGUUUAGUUAUGUUGUAAUUUUAUUUAGUUAUACGUGUGUUUAGUUAAAAAUUAUAUUGUUUUAGUUAUAGUUUUGUUAUAUUUAGUUAUGAAAGAAAUGGUUUAUUUACAUUUUUUUCA
Long non-coding RNA from Spinacia oleracea (spinach), 1060 nucleotides. RefSeq lists it as uncharacterized. The transcript is spliced from 2 exons. The record is from RefSeq and is a predicted model, not a curated record. NCBI's taxonomy places the organism in Eukaryota, Viridiplantae, Streptophyta, Magnoliopsida, Caryophyllales, Amaranthaceae.